This 450-nucleotide ribosomal RNA is filed under the name Shuttleworthella satelles. Its description in RNAcentral is "bacterial SSU rRNA". It matches the Rfam family "Bacterial small subunit ribosomal RNA", at positions 28 to 475 of the family's 1533-position model. The record is from RNAcentral. Lineage: Bacteria; Bacillati; Bacillota; Clostridia; Lachnospirales; Lachnospiraceae.
GAUGAACGCUGGCGGCGUGCUUAACACAUGCAAGUCGAACGAGAAAUGAUAUUACGAUCUCUUCGGAGUGACGGUUUUAUUUCGAGUGGCGGACGGGUGAGUAACGCGUGAGCAACCUGCCCUAUACCGGGGGAUACCAGUUGGAAACGACUGUUAAUACCGCAUAAGCGCACGAUAAGACAUCUUGUUGUGUGAAAAACUCCGGUGGUAUAGGAUGGGCUCGCGUAUGAUUAGCCAGUUGGCGGGGUAAAGGCCCACCAAAGCGACGAUCAUUAGCCGACCUGAGAGGGCGACCGGCCACAUUGGGACUGAGACACGGCCCAAACUCCUACGGGAGGCAGCAGUGGGGAAUAUUGCACAAUGGGCGAAAGCCUGAUGCAGCGACGCCGCGUGAGUGAGGAAGUAUUUCGGUAUGUAAAGCUCUAUCAGCAGGGAAGAAAGAAAUGACGU